UAUAAAUUAUGCUAAUAGCUAAUGGGCUCAUACCCCAUAAAUGUUAUUUAUAU
Molecule: transfer RNA, 53 nt
Filed under: Paratemnoides elongatus
Lineage: Eukaryota; Metazoa; Arthropoda; Arachnida; Pseudoscorpiones; Atemnidae
Description: tRNA-Met
Source: RNAcentral